Molecule: ribosomal RNA, 774 nt
Filed under: uncultured Neocallimastigales
Lineage: Eukaryota; Fungi; Neocallimastigomycota; Neocallimastigomycetes; Neocallimastigales
Description: partial large subunit ribosomal RNA
Rfam family: Eukaryotic large subunit ribosomal RNA (bases 1-664)
Source: RNAcentral
CGCAUCUGUGCAUGCAGCAUAUCAAUAAGCGGAGGAAAAGAAACUAACAAGGAUUCCCUCAGUAACGGCGAGUGAAGCGGGAAGAGCUCAAAUUUGAAAUCUUAAAGGUCUACCUUGCACGAAUUGUAGUUUAAAGAAGUGUUUUCUGCUGACGAUCUGGUAAUAUAAGUUCUUUGGAAUAGGACAUCACAGAGGGUGAGAAUCCCGUCUAUGAUUGCGAUUUGUAGCUUUGUGAUACACUUUCAAAGAGUCGGGUUGUUUGGGAAUGCAGCCCAAAACGGGAGGUAAAUUUCUUCUAAGGCUAAAUAUUGGCGAGAGACCGAUAGCGAACAAGUACCGUGAGGGAAAGAUGAAAAGAACUUUGAAAAGAGAGUUAAAUAGUACGUGAAAUUGUCAAAAGGGAAGCGUUUAACACCAGUGUUGUUUUCUGAAAAUCAACCUCUGUUAGCUUUAUGCAUGUUUGUUUAGACCUAAUCAGCUAUCUUUCAUGUUCUAUUGUUUGCAGUGGUGCACUUUUCAGUUUACAGGUCAACAUCAGUUUUUUUUACCGUAAAAAAGUUAAAGAAAGGUAGCUCAUGGCUCCGGUCGUGAGUGUUAUAGUCUUUUUCCUAUGCGGUAGGAGAGACUGAGGUCUGCAGUGUAGGCUAUUUGGCUAGAUACUCAGGUGCUAUGUGAUACCAUUUCAUAAACAACUUGUUGAUUAUGUUUUGUCUAUUGCAUACUCGCUUGUACUAUCAUACCUACGCUUAGGAUGUUGACGAUCAGCUGAGCGCG